This 498-nucleotide ribosomal RNA is filed under the name uncultured bacterium. Its description in RNAcentral is "partial 16S ribosomal RNA". It matches the Rfam family "Bacterial small subunit ribosomal RNA", at positions 30 to 523 of the family's 1533-position model. The record is from RNAcentral.
AUUGAACGCUGGCGGCAUGCUUUACACAUGCAAGUCGAACGGUAACAGGUCUUCGGAUGCUGACGAGUGGCGAACGGGUGAGUAAUGCAUCGGAACGUGCCCAGUCGUGGGGGAUAACGCAGCGAAAGCUGCGCUAAUACCGCAUACGAUCUAUGGAUGAAAGCGGGGGACCGUAAGGCCUCGCGCGAUUGGAGCGGCCGAUGUCAGAUUAGGUAGCUGGUGGGGUAAAGGCCCACCAAGCCCACGAUCUGUAGCUGGUCUGAGAGGACGACCAGCCACACUGGGACUGAGGCACAGCCCAGACUCCUACGGGAGGCAGCAGUGGGGUAUUUUGGACAAUGGGCGCAAGCCUGAUCCAGCAAUGCCGCGUGCAGGAAGAAGGCCUUAGGGUUGUAAACUGCUUUUGUACGGAACGAAAAGGCUCUCUCUAAUACAGAGGGCUAAUGACGGUACCGUAAGAAUAAGCACCGGCUAACUACGUGCCAGCCGCCGCCGUAA